UACGUAGGUGGCAAGCGUUGUCCGGAUUUAUUGGGUUUAAAGGGUGCGUAGGCGGUCAAGUAAGUCAGCGGUGAAAUCCGGCAGCUCAACUGUCGAUGUGCCAUUGAUACUGCAUGACUUGAGUACUGAUGAGGUAGGCGGAAUUGACGGUGUAGCGGUGAAAUGCUUAGAUAUCGUCAAGAACACCGAUAGCGAAGGCAGCUUACUAAGCAGUAACUGACGCUGAUGCACGAAAGUGUGGGGAGUCAAACAGGA
Molecule: ribosomal RNA, 255 nt
Filed under: uncultured bacterium
Lineage: Bacteria
Description: partial 16S ribosomal RNA
Rfam family: Bacterial small subunit ribosomal RNA
Source: RNAcentral